GCGACCCACACUAGGGUUAAAAUAAGAGGAUUAUUGAAAAUUAUCUUAAACAACACCCUAGGUAUUUUGUUAAUUAUAACGACAGCUUUGAGGGGUGCAUUCCGAGUCAUGGCAUAAUUUGCGCAAUCUGAUAAGCCUUCAGUCUGUUCUACUGGGGACAGGCUUUUUUAACUGCCGGUAUAUGAUUAUAUUUACACGAUCUGUAGCAUAAAUUCUCAUUCUAGGCAUCUUAACUUUAGGUGCAUGGAAGCAAGGAGCAGGAACUAGAGCCGAUCAAUUUCAAAACCCAUGCCAAUCCAUCAAAUACCAAAGUUCCAGAAAUAAACCCAUAUUUGGACAACGUGAAUUAUAAUGAGUAACUGUAAUGAAUGCCAGCCUUCUUUACAUAAGUAAGGAGGUGACAAACCAAGCAUCGUUAGUAUUUAUGACUCAACUUAGGUGCAUUUUUUAUCUAAUAAAAUGUAUUUGAUUUACUAGGUCGAUUCAAAUAAAUCACAAUUUAAAUAGCAUAGGAAGAUGAAGGUUAGAGCGCAUUUCUGUACCUUUGAGCAAAGGGGCAGACCUAGGGCUGCUGAAAUGCCAGGGGUUACGGACACCAGGGGAGACUUUGCCUCGAUUUAUCCCCAGUCAGCAAGCUUUUAUACACGGCAGUGGACUUCUCCGAUUAUAAAGCUAAACCAGUGCAUAAACGGUUGCAGGACCAAGAUUCCUAACAGCAUUUUCCCGGCUGGCCGGCACCAAAACCUUAGUGUUCCCACCUUUUGGGUUUUUUUUUUUUUACAAUCUUCCAUCAUCUUUGUUCCCGUGACGCUUCAGCAACGGAGAGGUCUGGCUGCGCAGGGGGGGCUGGAGGCAGCACCAGAGGGGCUGUUUCCCUACUUAUUGCAACGCAAAUUCAGCGACACCGAGGGAAAUGCCCCAACAGACCUGCGCUUUGGGGCACCAGGAUCCCCUUCCCCUUGAGGAAUUCUCCGAAGCAAGGAAUGAACCGGCAUGUGAGAGAAGUUUCUCUCGCAUCUUGCCCCAAGCAAAAAUCCAGGCUGGAUGAAAUCAGCAGAAAGAUGAUACUAGUAGAAGAAUAACACCCUGUGGGGGAUGUAAAACCUCAGUCAAGCUCCACAUGGAAAAGACUUGCUGCUAGUGCGUGCAGUCAGCCAGGUUUUUCUGUGCCAAGGGCACAGUGACAAGGGGCGAUUCCAUUUCUGCUUUGUGGAUUUCAGUCAUUAAAGUCUAGAGGAGCAUGAACCAAAGUGCUUAUGCAUAACUUAAGAAAGGCAUUCCUUCUUCGAGCUUCUACCUGGCAUGGCAAGCGACUGACCUCACAGAGUGCAUCACUUUCUCAAAAAGUAUAUUCAGUCUUUUUGAUGUGUAUGUCAACUGUUUUUCUUUACUCCUGAAGUUACCGUACAAUUGUAUUAAGUUUAGACCUUUCUACGUGGCAUCUGACUUCAACACAGUAAAGCCAUGAAGCGACUGACUCCAAAGAGACCUGGACCGCUGCCCUCUGCUGAGAAGGCACAAGCAAGAAUACCAUCAUCGAUUGUCGAGGCUUCCCAACCAAUUUGCCUCCGGGUUAUUGGCCAGACACUUCAUUGGUAGGUCUCAGUGAAGCGGGAAGUGUAAGAAUUGCCUGUUUGAAACAGAAAUGUCUCUGUGAAACUGCUAACGACUGCCUGAAUCGUUUGUGACGGUGGAUUGUCAGGAGUAAAUCCUGGGAAUUCACUGCAUUUCCACGUGCUCCCCAGAAUCCACAGAGCUGCUGCGGCUCCUCACGGUGGAGCAACUGAUGCCCUUUGCGUGUUUGUUCUCUCUGUGCUGUCAAACAGGAUGUGCAUGGAACCUCAUCACGAUGUUUUGGCAGACUCUGCCAGCCGUCAGACACCCUGUUUAUCACCAGCAUCACUGAACUUGUCGGGCUUUCAAGGAUCCAAAAGCCGUUGGCCUCAUAUGUGCGUUAUAAAGAAUAAACCUGCCCGCUACCUCACUGAGUGCCCGAACCAGCGCCUCGGGUGCAAGGAGGGCGGCAAGGAUGCGCUACCACCCCCAUGAGAAGGGAGGCACGCCCUUGGGCCAUUCCGCACAUCCCAGACAAAAACAUCCUGGAAACCUAAAGUCUUGAUUCCCGAGGCUGAGCUUGGGAGGGUGGCAUUAGCUGCUUUUCUUGUCGCAUCGCCUACAUGUGGGAGAUGCCCUCAGGAUGGGUCCCCACAGCGUGGUGAGGUCCCUCAAGGCACGGAGCUGUCGGAGCUGUUGGAGCAAAGGAGAAAGCAUUCCAGGCUCCCUCUGCAUGGCUGGGCAACUCACAGGGGGGCUGCAAAGUGACAAAGCCCACCGUGCGCGGGGAGAACCCAGGAGGGGGAUGAUGUCCUGCGGUGGGCUUUGAAGCGAUGAGACAACAUUCGCACCAGUGACCCCGUGGGUCAACAGUUCAGCUCACACUCAGCCCAGCAGGGUCACAGCUCAGUGUUGGGUUCAAAGUGAUGUGACAGUGUUCGCAUCGGUGACCUUGCGGGGCAGCAGCUCAGCUCACGCUCAGGGGUGGGUUUUGAAGCAAUGCGACAGCGCUCACACGUGUGACCCAUAGAGUAGUCCACACCCAGUGGUGGGUUUGAAGGAAUGUGCUUCCACGUGUGGCCUGUGGCUCAGCCCACAUGCAGCCCCCCGAGGUCACAGCUCAGUGGUGGGUUUUAAAGUGGGGUUUUGAAGUGAUGGGAUAAGCCCUCACACAUGUGACCUGUGGGGCAGUGGCUAAGCUCAUGCUCAGCCCGGCAGAGUCACAGCUCAGCGUUGGGUUCAAAACAAUGUGGCAGUGUUUGCACUGGUGACACCGCGAGGCAGUGGCUCAGCCCACACCCAGCGGUGGGUUCGAAGUGAUGGGACAGCCCUCACACGUGUGA
Molecule: long non-coding RNA, 2897 nt
Organism: Cuculus canorus (common cuckoo)
Lineage: Eukaryota; Metazoa; Chordata; Aves; Cuculiformes; Cuculidae
Exons: 3
Source: RefSeq, a predicted model, not a curated record